This 31-nucleotide non-coding RNA is filed under the name Rattus norvegicus (Norway rat). The record is from RNAcentral. Lineage: Eukaryota; Metazoa; Chordata; Mammalia; Rodentia; Muridae.
UACCUACUUGACUCAGAAGUGCCUGUGAGGU